GACGAACGCUGGCGGCGUGCUUAACACAUGCAAGUCGAACGGAAAGGCCCUGCUUUUGUGGGGUGCUCGAGUGGCGAACGGGUGAGUAACACGUGAGUAACCUGGCCUUGACUUUGGGAUAACUUCAGGAAACUGGGGCUAAUACCGGAUAGGAGCUCCUGCUGCAUGGUGGGGGUUGGAAAGUUUCGGCGGUUGGGGAUGGACUCGCGGCUUAUCAGCUUGUUGGUGGGGUAGUGGCUUACCAAGGCUUUGACGGGUAGCCGGCCUGAGAGGGUGACCGGCCACAUUGGGACUGAGAUACGGCCCAGACUCCUACGGGAGGCAGCAGUGGGGAAUAUUGCACAAUGGGCGGAAGCCUGAUGCAGCAACGCCGCGUGCGGGAUGACGGCCUUCGGGUUGUAAACCGCUUUCGCCUGUGACGAAGCGUGAGUGACGGUAAUGGGUAAAGAAGCACCGGCUAACUACGUG
RNAcentral lists this ribosomal RNA (468 nucleotides) under uncultured bacterium. RNAcentral's name for it is "partial 16S ribosomal RNA". It matches the Rfam family "Bacterial small subunit ribosomal RNA", at positions 28 to 507 of the family's 1533-position model. The record is from RNAcentral.